Molecule: ribosomal RNA, 405 nt
Filed under: uncultured bacterium
Lineage: Bacteria
Description: partial 16S ribosomal RNA
Rfam family: Bacterial small subunit ribosomal RNA
Source: RNAcentral
GAUGAACGCUGGCGGCGUGCCUAAUACAUGCAAGUCGAGCGAAGCGGGGACGGGUGCGUAACACGUGGAUAACCUCCUAUACGACUGGGAUAACUUCGGGAAACCGGAUCUAAACCUGAUACUUAUAUAUGUCUCCUGGCUGCAUUAGCUAGUUGGUAAGGUAACGGCUUACCAAGGCAACGAUGCAUAGCCGACCUGUGAGGGUGAUCGGACACACUGGAACGGAGACACGGUCCAGACUCCGACGGGAGGCAGCAGUAGGGAAUAUUGGGCAAGGGGCGAAAGCCUGACGGAGCAAUGCCGCGUGAGUGAAGAAGGUCUUCGGAUCGUAAAACACUGUUAGUAGGGAAGCGGUACCUAAUCAGAAAGCAACGGCUAACUACGUGCCAGCAGCCGCGGUAAUAC